This 1069-nucleotide long non-coding RNA is filed under the name Daphnia pulicaria. RNAcentral's name for it is "uncharacterized LOC124313635, transcript variant X1". The record is from RNAcentral. Lineage: Eukaryota; Metazoa; Arthropoda; Branchiopoda; Diplostraca; Daphniidae.
ACAUGCCGUUCUAGACUCUUGGAAAAACAAUUUUUUUUCAUCGAGGUUACCUUCGCUUUUAUUUGUAAUGUGAAGAAUAACAUUUUACCGUCCAAAUUAAUGCGUGUCACAUAGCGGCGUUGGUCCGAUCGUUUGCAUUUGAUUCUCCAUCCUGUUGCCCUAGCGAUACAUCGCCCGCAUGCUGAUGUUUUUGCUGUUGCAGCAGCAGCUGCACGGCAAGUGCCGAUACAAUCAACGGAUGUCUGCGUUCCUGUUUCACCGAGCGCGACAGAUAGUCUGAGCAAGUUAAACUGGUUUAUUUUCCAAGAAUCAACUAACCAAACGAAAUUAUUUUUCAGCCUAUCGAGUCUACAAGGGAAAACCACAUCCAACAACACGUCGAGGAGAGUUUAUUUACCUUCUACCGCCUGCGGCUAGAUACAAGAGACUAUGGAAAUAAGUUUGCCCAUGUUUUUCGGCAAGGUCUACAUCAUGGACUUCAUGCAACAGUCCCAGUUGAAAUAAGAGAGUGUGAAGCAAUCGUCCGAUAUUCGGCAUUAUUUGCGCCAAUCAAUAGUGAUCGUUCGUAACGACUCAAUGUAACAAAAUAGCCUAGAAGGAUAAACCGAUAAACCAUCAGUAGUUGCAGGAACCUCAUUCAUUACUGCUGUCAAGUAUUUGCUAGACGUUAAACAAAAGUGGGGGCCUACGCAACUUGGAAUAUCCAACUCUAGAAUGCCUGCAGUGUUAAGAUUUGUUUUUCAAUAUGUUUUGACACUUCUGUUAUUUUCUUGUUUCUUUUUAUUUAACGUGCCCACCGGCCUCUUUACUAGUCAGUCGUCCCUGCUAUGCUGGAUCUUCCCAGUUCGUCCAUCGACGCCCACCAGCCUCUUCGAAAGAAGUUUGUCCCAAUAUGGAAGUUCGAAAUGGCCCACAACAGUUUUCGGAAUUGGAGGGCUGCCGAGUGACUGAACUGAAAUCGUGAUGGUGGAAUUGCAGCCCGGAUACAUUGCACCCCAUCAUUGGGGAAAAUCCAAUGAAAAAUCCAAGCUAUUGCACGUCCUCCCGGUCAUUAUUUGUUUAUGGAGCG